Molecule: non-coding RNA, 1027 nt
Organism: Phascolarctos cinereus (koala)
Lineage: Eukaryota; Metazoa; Chordata; Mammalia; Diprotodontia; Phascolarctidae
Source: RefSeq, a predicted model, not a curated record
CCCUCCCACCCCUGCAAGGGCACCGGGGCCCUUCACGUCUGAUCAUCUCUGAUGUAAGGACGUCCAAUCACCUGUGGUCCUGGCUGCGUUUCCUAAUCAUCCUGGGGAAACGUUUGGCUCCCGGUGCAUGGAGGUGGUCUCAGUUUUUACUUCCUCCUGAGGGCCCACCACAAUCCUUUGGCAUCCCAGUGGUGUCAUCCAGAGUGCUGGCUAUCUGUCCUGGUCUCCAGGUAUCUGAUAGCUGAAAAGCAUACCAGCAGUGCUUUUUCUGAGUCACUGAUAAAAAAGGCAAGGGGCAGGGGCCAAGUAGAGCAGAUCCCUGGGACCUCCCCAAGACCUCCUGCCACAUGAACGUUGAACCAUCAGCAGCUACUCUUGGAGGCCCAUCAUUCAACCAGUUCAGAAUCCACCUCGUUGUCUGAGCCCCAGCCCACGUCUCUCCAGCUUCUCGGCAAGAAUGGCACCAGAUACUUCACUAAAAGCUUUGAUAACUUUGGGUAGACCUGUGGGCGCUGGGAGAGACAGAGAUCAAAAGCAUCCAGGGCUGGUUCCUUUACUUCCUUCGGGACCCAGCUCAGGGACAUUUCACCAAGUAGAGGAAGCUGUUCCUGCCCAUCCCAGCUGUUAGCGCACUCUGCUUCUUGAGCGACAUCUGUGCAUGUGGAAGAGAUCUUCCAUAACUCUAAAUCAGAGUUGGCUGACCAUUCAUGUGGGACAAGCUGAGGGGACGAAAACCCUGCUGGCAACCAGAGGCAGUGAAAUCAACAACCUGCGGUCCUGGGAGGAAGGGGAAAGAGUGUGUGCACGUAUGCACUUGUACCAUAUAGAUGUAUGUGCACGUGUGUUUGUGUGUGGAUACGUACAUGUAUAUGUAUGUGUAUGUUCUGUGUGUGCAUGUGUGUACUAAAUGCUGUGAAUACACAUGUGAAAAGACAGCUCCUGACCUCAAAGAGCUUACAAUCUAACAACAUAAAAUGAAGCUGAAAAGGGAGUCAGGGAGGAGGCACAUGAUGGAGAAAUCCAGAGA